This 460-nucleotide ribosomal RNA is filed under the name uncultured bacterium. Its description in RNAcentral is "partial 16S ribosomal RNA". It matches the Rfam family "Bacterial small subunit ribosomal RNA", at positions 338 to 795 of the family's 1533-position model. The record is from RNAcentral.
CCUACGGGUGGCAGCAGUGAGGAAUAUUGGUCAAUGGGCGGAAGCCUGAACCAGCCAAGUAGCGUGCAGGAUGACGGCCCUACGGGUUGUAAACUGCUUUUAUACGGGAAUAACGCGCCUUACGUGUAGGGCUUUGCAUGUACCGUAUGAAUAAGGACCGGCUAAUUCCGUGCCAGCAGCCGCGGUAAUACGGAAGGUCCGGGCGUUAUCCGGAUGUAUUGGGUUUAAAGGGAGCGUAGGCCGCAUGUCAAGCGUGCUGUGAAAGGGCCGGGCUCAACCCGGGCCUUGCAGCGGGAACGGGCGUGCUUGAGUGCACGGAAGGCAGGCGGAAUUCGUUGUGUAGCGGUGAAAUGCGUAGAUAUGACGAAGAACCCCGAUUGCGAAGGCAGCUUGCUGCAGCGGAACUGACGCUGAUGCUCGAAAGCGCGGGUAUCGAACAGGAUUAGAUUCCCCUGUAGUC